RNAcentral lists this ribosomal RNA (406 nucleotides) under uncultured bacterium. RNAcentral describes it as "partial 16S ribosomal RNA". It matches the Rfam family "Bacterial small subunit ribosomal RNA", at positions 28 to 526 of the family's 1533-position model. The record is from RNAcentral.
GAUGAACGCUGGCAGAAUGCUUAACACAUGCAGUCACUGAGUGUGGCGGACGGGUGAGUAACGCGUACAGAACUUACCUCACAGUUAGGGACAACAUUUGUAAACGAAUGCUAAUACCUAAUACUGUGAGAGAGCUUUGCGUCACAUUAGCUAGUUGGAGAGGUAACGGCUCACCAAGGCGAGGAUGGGUAGCCGGCCUGAGAGGGUGAUCGGCCACAAGGUGACUGGGACACGGCCCUUACUGCUUCGGGAGGAAGGAGCGGGGAAUAGUGGACAAUGGACCAAAGUCUGAUCCAGCAAUUCUGGGUGCACGAUGAAGUUUUCGGAAUGUAAAGUGCUUUCAGUUGGGAAGCGGUACCAACAGAAGAAGUGACGGCUAACUACGUGCCAGCAGCCGCGGUAAUAC